UAAAUUGUCUGGCUGGAAUUUUAAUGUUUUCCUUUUUUUUCCCGCUCAUUUGGUUUCUUCUUUUUUGAGCUAUGCGCACACAUGGAGCUGGGCACACUGGAGAGCUGAGGAACUACUGGAUGCCAUAGAGCAGUUGCCAGAUGGUGGUUGAUUCCUGACAAUAUGGACAUUCGCAACGAAUUCAUUUACAUUGUUGUUGUUGCUAUCUUUGUGGUCGUUGUUUUUGCUGUGGCUGCUUAUUAUUUUGUCAAAAGCGAUUCGGAGCCUCUAGACGAGGUAUGAACAAGAGAGAAGUAACAACAAUCAUCCUGUCGAGCAAAACUUUUGCUUUUAUUUAUUUAGCUGCACACCAGAAACAACAAAAGGCAGCCAGAGGCAAGACGAAUCUGUUGAUGCACUUAUGCGCUAAUCAUAUGUGCAAUUCGUUUUUAGGCAGACUAAUUUUUGCAAAUGUUUACAAAUGCGUACGAAGAAAGUAUAUACAUUUUCAGAGAGCCUAUAAAAGUGGCGUGUCACACCUUGUAAAAGGCAAA
Molecule: non-coding RNA, 533 nt
Organism: Drosophila virilis
Lineage: Eukaryota; Metazoa; Arthropoda; Insecta; Diptera; Drosophilidae
Source: RefSeq, a predicted model, not a curated record